AUGGCCGCAAGGAGGGCCGCUUCCUCCUUCCUCUCGCGCCGCGGCCUCCUCGCGAAGCCUCCCGCCGAUUCUCUUCUCGGAGCAGACAAUGCACGGCGCUUGUUGCUAGGAGCAGUUGACAGGUUCAGCACCGCACCGGCAGCCGCCGCCGACGAGCAGCCGAUCAAACCCCCCGUGGAGGUCAAGUACACGCAGCUCCUCAUCAACGGCAACUUCGUCGAUGCAGCAUCUGGGAGGACGUUCCCGACGGUGGACCCCCGCACCGGCGAGGUCAUCGCCCGCGUGGCCGAGGGGGACGCCGAGGACAUCGAGCGCGCCGUCGCCGCCGCCCGCAGGGCCUACGACGAGGGUCCCUGGCCGAGGAUGACCGCCUACGAGCGGUGCCGGGUGCUGCUGCGGUUCGCGGACCUGAUGGAGCGGCACAACGACGAGAUCGCGGCGCUGGAGUCGUGGGACGGCGGGAAGCCGCUGGAGCAGUCCGCCGGCGGGGAGGUGCCGAUGGCGACGCGGUGCAUGCGGUACUACGCCGGGUGGGCGGACAAGUUCCACGGCAUGGUGGUGCCGGCCGACGGCCCGCACCACGUGCAGGUGCUGCGCGAGCCCAUCGGCGUCGCCGGCCAGAUCAUCCCCUGGAACUUCCCGCUGCUCAUGUUCGCCUGGAAGGUCGGCCCGGCGCUCGCCUGCGGCAACGCCGUCGUGCUCAAGACCGCCGAGCAGACGCCGCUCUCCGCGCUCUACGUCGCCAGCCUCCUCCACGAGGCCGGCCUCCCGGACGGCGUCCUCAACGUCGUCCCCGGCUUCGGCCCCACGGCCGGCGCCGCGCUGUGCAGCCACAUGGGCGUCGACAAGCUCGCGUUCACCGGAUCGACUGGCACGGGCAAGAUUAUUCUUGAACUGGCGGCGAGGAGCAACUUGAAGCCGGUGACGCUGGAGCUCGGCGGCAAGUCUCCGUUCAUCGUCAUGGACGACGCCGAUGUCGACCAGGCCGUCGAGCUCGCGCACCGGGCGCUCUUCUUCAACCAGGGGCAAUGCUGCUGCGCUGGGUCUCGGACGUUCGUGCACGAGAGCGUGUACGACGAGUUCGUGGAGAAGUCCAAGGCUCGCGCCCAGAGGCGUGUCGUCGGCGACCCCUUCAAGAAAGGUGUUGAGCAGGGACCUCAGAUCGAUGGCCAGCAGUUCAAGAAGAUCCUGGGCUACGUCAAGUCGGGCGUCGACAGCGGCGCAACCCUCGUGACCGGCGGCGACAGGGUAGGCAGCAGGGGUUUGGAAAAAGUCCAAAAUAAACCUUAA
RNAcentral lists this ribosomal RNA (1290 nucleotides) under Triticum aestivum (bread wheat). Its description in RNAcentral is "partial small subunit ribosomal RNA". Lineage: Eukaryota; Viridiplantae; Streptophyta; Magnoliopsida; Poales; Poaceae. The record is from RNAcentral.